This is a long non-coding RNA of Parambassis ranga (Indian glassy fish), 2020 nucleotides long. The record is from Ensembl. NCBI's taxonomy places the organism in Eukaryota, Metazoa, Chordata, Actinopteri, Ambassidae.
UCCACAGGAAUUCUUUAUACACUAUCGUGUAUUCAUAGGCUCUCAAGGAUACUGCCCACCUUUGGAUUCUACGUGAGACCAUCUGUGGUACGGCCUGCAUCAAGGGCAACAACAAGGGCUUGUCAUCUGUCACUAUAGUGAAUUUCCGACCAUAAAUGUACUUGUGGAAACGUUUUAUCCUAAACAUCACUGCUAGUCCUUCCUUAGCUAAGUGUGAGCAGUUCUUCUCAUCUACAUUUAAUGUUCGUGAGGUGAAUCCUAUGGGUUUCUCAGUUCCAUCUGUCAUGUGAUGUGGCAGCAUGGCACCUACUCCAUGUGAUGUGUCACACAACAGCACAAUGUCAUUAUCUGCUGUAAUGCACCACUUCUGCAGACUGCAUCAUCUCUUUUGAUUUUUCAAAAUCAACCUUUUGUGCCUCUCCCCACUCUUUGUAUAGCAGUUGACAUGAUUAUGCAGGAACUUGUUAUAAUAGUAAAACAGCCUUCACCUCUGUCACAUUUGAAGGUGUGGGUGCCUCUUGGGUGGCUUGCACCUUCUCCUGGACUGGAGUAUUGUAGUAGAGUGAGUGAUUGACACAGCCUUGAUGUUUCUCCGCAGCAAGGAAGAGUGGAUUCAUUCAUUUUACUUUGUUCCUGCAGCGAGACCGUGGCCACAUAAACAAUUCUCUGAAGUCACGCGCGAAAGUGAAACUGGUGAAAAGGAGCAGGAUGUUUGUGUAAAGAAUUAUUCGCAGGGACGCGGAAGAGACGAAGAAACGUACAGAUGGCUGUGGAUGAAGAGAAAUUGCAGAACAUCCUAAGAGAACUGAAGGGGUCUGAAAUCAAAGAAUGUGUUCCACAUGUUGAAGAGUUGAUGAAAAAACCUCAGAUUCUUCACAGUGAUGUUUUGGAUUUGCUCACUGUUGUGGUGACCAGUUUACCUUCAAAGAAACCAGAAACAGCAAGACAACAGGCACCACGGUUCUGCUAUGUCAAAACUGGAGAGACUUAUGGUGCUCAUGAAACCAUAGUGAAAAAAGUGAAGAGAAGAAAAUGGAGGUCAUUAAAACAGGUUAGGAAGACAAAAAACAUGCAGGGAUGUGACAUCAUCAUUGUCUUCUGUCCAAUCACAUCCCGUACUGGUUCAGAUUCAGAAGCAGUCAAGAGACAUGCAGCAGUGUCAUCCAACAAUAAACCAGUCAUUGUGGUGCUGAUGCAUCACACCAGAGAUAAGGAGUUUUCACCAGGAGAAAGAAAAUGGUUUGAAGAUCCAAGGUUUGUGUUGGAGGUUCAUGUUCUCUUCCAUGAGACUCAGGGAGGAUUACUUCAAUGUGCACAAAAUCGACAGGCUGUCAGUAGAAUAAAAGAUCAGGUUCGCAAUCCCUACAAAAAUCAAAUGUGAGAUACUGUGUCGUUCAGCACAGAGGGCAGUAUCACAGUGGAGCAGGAGUAAACAGUAAACACUAAUAACGUAAACAGUGUUUGCUGAAACUGGCACUUCACUUCACCCUAGCCUGUGGCGCGCCUUGCUAGUCAUUGUAUGACACUGCUUGGCAGCAGCCGUAAAGAAUUUCCCUCUGGGAUUAAUAAAGUAUCUAAAAUAAAAUAAAAAUAAAAAUAAUAAACACAUUAGCAUGUCACAGAAUUGAAACAUAGAAUGUUGGCUGACCAGUGUAAUGUAUUUGGCACCUGUCUUGUAAAAAGUUUAAAUUUACUCACUUUGGUGUCACUUUAAGGCAGUUCCUGAAGUCGAUGAAUUAAUGUCCUGUUUUGUACAUUGAUCUUCUAAUCAAAGAUGUAUUGUUUGACCCCCUAUUAAAUAUUCUGAAUUUGAAGUUCUGAAACUUGUACUUUUUCAUUUUACGUACUAAUUGUGAAUUCCAGUCCCAUUUCCCUGAGAGACUUUUCUCAAAAUGAUAAUAGCUAUUAGACCUACAGUGGCUUGCAAAAGUAUUCAUACCCCUUGAACUUUUCCACAUUUUCUCACAUUAUGACCACAAACAUAAAUAUAUUUUAUUGGAAUGUUAUGUGAAAGACCAAC